RNAcentral lists this ribosomal RNA (501 nucleotides) under uncultured bacterium. RNAcentral's name for it is "partial 16S ribosomal RNA". It matches the Rfam family "Bacterial small subunit ribosomal RNA", at positions 30 to 523 of the family's 1533-position model. The record is from RNAcentral.
AUUGAACGCUGGCGGCAUGCCUUACACAUGCAAGUCGAACGACAGCACGGGUGCUUGCACCUGGUGGCGAGUGGCGAACGGGUGAGUAAUACAUCGGAACGUACCUUAUCGUGGGGGAUAGCGCAGCGAAAGCUGUGCUAAUACCGCAUACGCCCUGAGGGGGAAAGCGGGGGAUCGCAAGACCUCGCGCGAUUAGAGCGGCCGAUGCCUGAUUAGCUUGUUGGUGGGGUAAAAGCCCACCAAGGCGACGAUCAGUAGCUGGUCUGAGAGGACGAUCAGCCACACUGGGACUGAGACACGGCCCAGACUCCUACGGGAGGCAGCAGUGGGGAAUUUUGGACAAUGGGGGCAACCCUGAUCCAGCAAUGCCGCGUGAGUGAAGAAGGCCUUCGGGUUGUAAAGCUCUUUUGUCAGGGAAGAAACACCGGCUCUAACACAGUCUGGGAAUGACGGUACCUGAAGAAUAAGCACCGGCUAACUACGUGCCAGCCGCCGCGGUAA